UUCUCUCGCCAGUAUUACCAGCACAACGCAACCUACAAUCUCAAGCUCCCAUCCGAAACAUACUUCUCCGUCGCCAACAACACUUACCAGGGCCUCUCCACUUGUCAAGCGAUGAUGGAUCAAAACCCUUAUGGGGAUAGAAAUCUGUUGGUGAAUAUGAGUCUGGAAGUUCCCCUCAGGUGUGCUUGCCCCACUUCCAAUCAGACCGCUUUGGGGUUCAAGUACUUGCUCACCUACAUGGUUACCUGGGGCGAUUCCAUUUCUUCCAUCGCCCAAUUAUUCAGCGUCGACCAACAGACCGUGUUGGAUGCAAAUAAACUGACCUCCUCCAGCAUCAUCUUCCCGUUCACUCCAAUUCUGGUUCCUUUGACUAGGGAGCCCACGAAGAUCAAUCGGGCAGUGGUACCUCCGCCUGCAUCACCUUCUCCGCAAACUCCCAUCUUCCCUGGUGGGGGAUCCAACUCUUCCAGUAACCGAAAAUGGGUAUAUGUGGGUGUUGGGUCAGGAGUUGCUAUACUUAUUGUUUUAGCCGUGUUUGCAUUCCUGUUCUGGAACCGCAAGUCCAAGUCUCAUGAGGCCAAGCCUGUCUCCACCUCAGAACCCAAGGCGUUACAAUCGGAGUCGGCUGAUUACUCCGCUGUUCCAGUCCAAGAUAGCCAAUCUGGGUCUCUCUCAUCCCUUGGAAUCAGAUAUGCGAUUGAGUCUUUGACUCUCUACAAAUUCGAGGACUUGGAAAUGGCCACCGGUUAUUUCGGUGAAAAUAGUAGAAUUAAAGGGUUGGUUUAUAAGGGAUCAUUUAAGGGUGAUGCCGCCGCCGUCAAGGUCAUGAAAGGAGAUGUCUCGAGGGAGAUCAACAUUCUAAAGAAGAUCAAUCAUUUCAACAUCAUCAGGCUCUCUGGCUUCUGCUUACACGAGGGAAACACCUUUCUAGUUUACGAGUUCGCCGAGAAUGGUGCUCUCUGCGAUUGGCUUCACUCUGACGACAGCUUGUACCGGAUUCCUACUCUUACGUGGAAGCAGAGAGUUCAGAUUGCCUACGAUGUGGCUGAUGCCCUUAAUUACCUCCACAAUUACACUAACCCCCCUUUUAUCUACAAGAACUUGAAGACCAGUAACAUUUUCCUGGAUGCCGGAUUUAGAGCCAAGAUUGGUAACUUCGGCUUGGCAAGAACGUUGGAAAAUGAAGACGAAGGCGGACUGCAACUCACAAGACAUGUUGUGGGAACUCAAGGCUAUAUGGCCCCUGAGUACGUCGAGAAUGGUCUCAUUACCCCCAAGUUAGAUGUCUUCGCAUUUGGGGUUGUGAUUUUGGAGCUCUUGUCUGGAAAGGAAGCUGCUGCUGGUGACAAGGAAAUGCUCUCAGCAUCAAUAAGCUUGGUACUGGAGGGGGACAAUGUAAGAGAGAAAUUCCUUGACUUCAUCGAUCCUUCUCUGGGAAACGAGUACCCAUUGGACGUAGCCUUCUCCCUAGCUAACCUGGCUAAAAACUGCGUCACUCGUGAUAUCAAUGCUCGUCCCUCCAUUCCUCAAGUUAUCAUGACGUUAUCCAAGAUUCUCUCAUCUUCGCUGGAUUGGGAACCUUCUCUCGAACUUCAAAGCUCAAGGUCUAUGAGCAGUGGCAGGUAAACAUUGCUGAAGAUUGUGAGGUACUUGCACCAUCCACCUUGCACAGUAGAUUGAUACAUCGCCAUGAAUA
This 1696-nucleotide unclassified non-coding RNA is filed under the name Hevea brasiliensis (rubber tree). Lineage: Eukaryota; Viridiplantae; Streptophyta; Magnoliopsida; Malpighiales; Euphorbiaceae. The record is from RNAcentral.